UGCGUAGGCGGCUUUGCAAGUCAGAUGUGAAAUCUAUGGGCUCAACCCAUAGCCUGCAUUUGAAACUGCAGAGCUUGAGUGAAGUAGAGGCAGGCGGAAUUCCCCGUGUAGCGGUGAAAUGCGUAGAGAUGGGGAGGAACACCAGUGGCGAAGGCGGCCUGCUGGGCUUUAACUGACGCUGAGGCACGAAAGCGUGGGUAGCAAACA
RNAcentral lists this ribosomal RNA (207 nucleotides) under uncultured bacterium. Its description in RNAcentral is "partial 16S ribosomal RNA". It matches the Rfam family "Bacterial small subunit ribosomal RNA", at positions 568 to 774 of the family's 1533-position model. The record is from RNAcentral.